Pongo pygmaeus (Bornean orangutan) is the source of this 1333-nucleotide long non-coding RNA. RefSeq lists it as uncharacterized. The transcript has 6 exons. The record is from RefSeq and is a predicted model, not a curated record. NCBI's taxonomy places the organism in Eukaryota, Metazoa, Chordata, Mammalia, Primates, Hominidae.
AUUGCCCAGGCUGAAGUGCAAUGGCACGAUCAUGGCUCACUGCAACCCCCGCCUCCAGGGUUCAAGCGAUUCUCCUGCCUCAGCUUCCCAAGUAGCUGGGAUUACAGGCACCUGCCAUCACUCCCGGCUAAUUUUUUGUAUUUUUCAUAGAGACAGGGUUUCACCAUAUUGGCCAGGCUGGUCUCGAACUCCUGACCUCAGGUGAUCUACCCACCUUGGCCUCCCAAAGUUCUGGGAUUACAGGUGAGAGCCACCAUGCCCCGCCCAGAACUGUUUUCAUCUCCCAAACUGAAAUGUUUACCCAUUAAACAGUAACUCCCCCCACUGCUCCCCCAGCCCCUGCAAAGCGCUAUUCUACUUUCUAUAAAUUUAACUACUCAAGGUGCCUCAUUUUAAUGUAACCAUAUAUGAUUUGUCCUUUUGUGACUUAGCAUAAUAUUCUUCUAUUAGUCUACUUGGGCCGCUACAACAAAAUACCACAGACUGGGUGGCUCACAAAGAGCAGAAACUUAUUUGCUGGAGGCUAAGAAGUCCAAGAUCAAAAUGUCAAAAGUUUCUGAACAGAACAUAUCUUCCAGUAGCUUCCUGAGAAAGUGUAUAUGCAAAGCACACUUCUGAGAUCUUUCAGAUGGUUUUGCCACAUUGCCCAGGAUGGCCUUGAACUCCUGGGCUCAAGUGAUCCACCUGCCUUGGCCCCCCAAAGUGCUGGGAUUACAGGUUGCUAUGAAAAGAAAAAUCAUGAUUUUAAAGAUGGAGUUUUGCCAUGUUGCUCAGGCUGGCCUCGAACUCCUGGGCUCAAGUGAUCCAUGAACUUCUGCCUCCCAAAGUGCUGGGACUGCAAGGAUUUUAGCAUCAAUAUUAUGGAGGCUAUGCCUGAACUCAACAACACGGACUUCUACUCACCAAGGCUGAUCUUGUACUAAUACUAAGUGCCCAACCUGACAACAGAGAAGAUGAUGAGCCUCUAUAAGACACCAUUCCUUAGGGGCAUCAGCCAGUCCCAUGGUGGUAGGAUUAUUACAUGGGACACCUUUCAUCAUGAUGAAAACAGAAACUUUUCCUCAUGGAAAUGAAUAUGUAUUUUAGACACACAUUUACCUUCUUUGCUGACAAUGAUUCUGUCAUCACCAUCUCCAUGGACUUCCAGAAUGCCUUAAUCAUCAUCAGGGUAUCCUACACAAAGUUGUCUCUGACCAAGGAACUCAUUUAAUGGUAAGUGAAGUGUGCAUCCAAAGAUUCACUAGUCUUUACUACUUACUUUGCCAUGCAGAAGCAGCUUGCCUUACACAAAAAUAAAUAACUUACUGGAAGCUUAGUUAUGGGAUCACCUGUU